CUACAUCACAUUCAUAUUCUGAAAAUGAAGAGGAAGAAAAUGAGGAGACUGAGUUGCAAGUAGAUGAACAAAGGCCUGCAACCCGAAAAAGAGCAUGGUUUGUUAAUGUCAUUGAUGAUCAAGGAAAGAGAAUUACAAAGCAACUACGAACCAAUGAUGUGUGGCAUUUACCUCCUAAUGAAAGGAUUGUUGUGCAGUGGAAUAAUGAGGGUCAAGCAAUUGCAGAUGGUGGAGCAUUAUUGAAUAGGUUCUUGGGUAGCAUUGCAAGAAACUCUAAUUCUCUUCCUAUUAGUUAUUCUAGUUGGAAGAAGAUUCCUAAAGAUUAUAAAGAAGACAUACUUAAGAAUACUAUUCAGGCUAAGUUUGAUGUCCAUUCUGAUGUUCAUAUAAGCCACAUCCUCAAAUCACUUAACAUAAAGUGGAGAGACCACUGAC
Long non-coding RNA from Vigna unguiculata (cowpea), 435 nucleotides. Lineage: Eukaryota; Viridiplantae; Streptophyta; Magnoliopsida; Fabales; Fabaceae. The record is from RefSeq and is a predicted model, not a curated record.